This 330-nucleotide ribosomal RNA is filed under the name uncultured eukaryote. RNAcentral's name for it is "partial 18S ribosomal RNA". It matches the Rfam family "Eukaryotic small subunit ribosomal RNA", at positions 1470 to 1796 of the family's 1831-position model. The record is from RNAcentral.
CCCUUAGAUGUUCGGGGCCGCACGCGCGCUACACUGAAGGACUCAGCGUGUCUCUCCCCCUAUCCCGAAAGGGAUGGGCAACCCGUUGAACCUCCUUCGUGCUAGGGAUUGGGGUUUGCAAUUAUCCCCCAUGAACGAGGAAUUCCCAGUAAGCGCGAGUCAUCAGCUCGCGUUGAUUACGUCCCUGCCCUUUGUACACACCGCCCGUCGCACCUACCGAUUGAAUGACUCGGUGAAAAAUUGGGACUGUGAUUGAAAUUGCUUCAUUGCGAAUUUAAUCAUGGAAACUUUCUUUAACCUAGGCAUUUAGAGGAAGGUGAAGUCGUAACA